AGGCUGCCUGACCCCCAGAGGACCCAUGUGAUGUGGGCAACCAGCAAGGACUUCGGGAUGUCUGGGCUCCGCUUUGGCACGCUGUACACAGAAAACCAGGAUGUGGCCACUGCCGUGGCUUCCCUCUGCCGCUACCAUGGCCUCAGUGGCUUGGUCCAGUACCAGAUGGCACAGCUGCUCCGGGACCGUGACUGGAUCAACCAGGUGUACCUGCCGGAAAACCAUGCCCGGCUCAAGGCUGCCCACACCUAUGUCUCAGAAGAGCUCAGGGCGUUGGGGAUCCCCUUCUUGAGUCGUGGGGCUGGCUUCUUCAUCUGGGUUGACUUGAGAAAGGGAUGCAGAGGGUCCGGCAGGUGCUUGCAGGCAAAUCCCAAGUGGCAGAAGACCCCCGUCCCUCUCAGAGCCAGGAGCCAAGUGACCAACACAGGUGAGCUGGUCAUUGUCUCGUGGCCGGAGGGCCCAGCAGCCACUGUGGACCUGGGGCGUUCUGGGGCUGCAGAAGACUGACUGUGGAUGUGCCAUUUGCCAGGAA
This 532-nucleotide small RNA is filed under the name Pongo abelii (Sumatran orangutan). RNAcentral describes it as "retained intron". Lineage: Eukaryota; Metazoa; Chordata; Mammalia; Primates; Hominidae. The record is from RNAcentral.